Long non-coding RNA from Falco peregrinus (peregrine falcon), 8172 nucleotides. RefSeq lists it as uncharacterized. The transcript has 4 exons. The record is from RefSeq and is a predicted model, not a curated record. Lineage: Eukaryota; Metazoa; Chordata; Aves; Falconiformes; Falconidae.
CUCACCCUCAGAAAAAGUGUUAGGAAGUGAGUAAUGCAAGUGCGAAUCCCCUUGUGUUAUGGACAUUCCUGGCUCACAGACACCAAUGUGAAAGAAAAUGAGGAGUUUACCCCUUUCGAUUUAUAUGUUUGACUGGCCAAUUCCUUCUCAAGUUGUUAAAAAAGCCAAGGAGGAAAAGCAGUGUCACAGCCAUCUGUGAAAAGCACCAGAGCAAUAAAUGUGUCGAACUGUGAUGAGAACUACACCAGUAAUGAUGAAGGUCUCUGGGGAAAUCUUCAUAUGCUGUUGAUCUUCUACUGGACCAUCAAACACAUCACUAACAUUACAUGGAAAUAAAGCCUUUUUCCUCCAUCUUCCUUUGUUGUGUUUAAGAAGAAAAGCUCAUCUGAACAGGUAAGUAAACAGACUAUCUCAGGAUGAGGAUGUGAGCAACAUCUUCUAGUCCCAAAGAGUUUCUAAACUAUCCUUCUGUUCUUGUGGGAGUACAAUUAGAUUAAAUAGUCCCUAUCGUCCAGAUUGAGAUAAAACUAACUGGAUGUGAAGGUUUCGAUUAAAAAAGCUACUUUAGAAUGUCUAUAGAAAACUUGUACGUUCAUAUUGAAACUUCAGCUUGGGAGUUUUCCUGGACGGGGAUGUGAGCCAGCUGCCGAAAUCCACACAGGUCAGUAACAGAGUCACACCUAAUGCGGAAUUCCUGAGGCUCAAUACUGUACUCCUUUCUCUAGCCUGUGUCAUCACUCAUUAGCAGAUAUAUCUUGUCAUGUAUGAUUAAAAGUGAAUUAAUUAAAACUCCUGUGUCAAAAGGUUAACUAUAUGAUUUAUGCUAUAUUAUUAUGAGUGCCUUCAGAGAAAUGUUAGGCUGGAUUCCUAUUUACACCAGAAGACAUGUUCCCUUUUAACUCAGAAAGAUGAGUUUAACUAAGGGAAAAGAGGAAAAGCAGGCUGAGAGAAUACUGCUUUUACUCAGAAAUGGCCUCAAGGACCCUUUUCAGGUCCCUGUUGUUGGGAUGUUGGGAUGGGCAGAGGGAACCCCACUCUGGGAACUGGCCUGGCAGCUAUUGUUGCAUAUAGGGUACAAGGAGGGACCAUGGAGGAUGACUCCUGCUUCUGGAAGGGGCUUCGCAGCCCUGCACUGCAGUGCUCCAGGCCACCAGACAGCACAACCUGUCUCUUCCCUUUGGUGGCAGCCAUCACAGCCAAGUUCAACAGCCAAGUGACACAGCCACGUUCUGGCAGAAGUAAAGGUGGGAGUGGGAUCAUUUCCCACUCCUCCCAAUCUGCCUGCUGUUUAAAUAGUGGCUGAUAUGUCUAUGAGUGACUUUUGUGCCAGGGUCAAAGCUGCAAUUCCCUUGCAGGAAGUGCUGUAUGCAGAUACUACUAUGGAUGGCUGCUGUCACAGCUGUGAAUGCUGCAAUACAAGACAGCACUGUGGCAGCUCCUGGGAAGAAAAAUUAACUCUAUCCCAGACAAAACCAGGAUGGUAUGAUAACAGACAGAUCUACUGGACAGGAAGGUCUUGUAAUGAAUUAGUUUUGUAAGGCAUUUGAUAGCCAUUUCUGUCCUCUUUAGCUGACCAUAUUCCUGCUUUCACUGCAUAAGAGACUGUUCUGGGAGGACUUUAUUUGGACAGAAGAAGAAAAUAUCCCUUCUCAGAUAGAAUGAGAGCAAACCUAGUUGUCUUCAAGAGCUUGAUACACAAGCUCCAGUUAUGUCAAAGCAAAGUCUUAGUGAGAUCAGUAGGGACAGAAUUUCUGAAGAAAUCUAUAUAAGUGCCUUAAAAGGUUAAUGUUCUUGCUGACUAAGAUCUCCAAAAUUAAUUCUUCUACAAGCAGGUUUGCAGCCUCCUUUGAACCCAUAUGACUAUGAAGUUAUACAAGAAGUGUUGUUCCACUUUCUGUAGAUCUCAGUCCUGACUUUUAAUAUCCAAAAUUUUAGUAAUCAUAAAGUAUCCAAAUGUGAAGAAGUUUCUGCAGUUAACUGAGGCUGACUUUCAAAGCUAUGAGCUUUUUGAUCUCCAAAAGAUCUGAAAGCAUUUUGUAGUUUACACUUGCAUAGAGGUGUUUCAAAAGAUAUAUAAUCAACUUAUGUUCAUAAAAAAGCAUAAUGAGUUAUUUUUAUUUUUUAAAAUAUAGAGAACAUUUAUUUGUGUGAUUUUUUCCCCAGAAAACCCCAAAGGUUUAUGAGACAAAAGAUCCAAAGAGCAUUAACUUUGAAAGAGCAUAGGUACACAUGCAAAUUUUAUAUUCAUAUUGUUUCUUUCUCAUAUAAAUAGUGGAAGUAUUCCAUUGAACUGAAGAAAUGUAGCGCGAUGUCUUUAAUGAAUCAUAUUUUUCUGUCACCUUUAGUGGAAGGAAAAACUUACAAAGCUUAAGGGGCAUGAACUGACGUAACAGAAAGGUUCCAGAUAAUGAGGAAAUACUGAAAAUUCUUCAGAUCUCUGUUCUUUGUAUGAUGUAUGAUUUUGGAACAAUCUGUAUGUUUUAAGCAAGAAGAGAUUAUAAUCAAGAGAAAAAUAUGAGCUGAAACCAUUUUGUAAGUCAAAAGUAUUUUUUUCUGAGUAAUUUCUAGUUUGCAUGAAUAAUUUAGAUUAGUUUAACUCAUCAACAAAGGUUAGGAUAUCCACAUUUUGAAAUAAUUGAACUUUGCUGAACCAUCAAACAUAUAAUUUCCACUUAACUAAUAGUUUUCAUUGAUUUAUUUUUUUCCAAGAGAAUAAGCAGGUCAGUUAUAUCUGGAAUAUCUGAUACGUAAAGAAGAUACAUUCUUCACACACUGAUUUUCUUCUCUAGAAGCGAAGGAAUGCAACAUUUAAAAAAAAAUGAAGUGAAUUUGCAAGACUGUGCAGAGCUGGCAAUAGUUUCUUAUUAUUUUGCCAAAAGAAUGUUGAGAAUGUUGGUUACACUUGAACUGAAUACAGUGAUUUAUUUUAGAGGCUGUGUUAUUCAAUUUGGUGUUUAGCUUCCUUUUCAUCAUCUCUGUACAUAUAUCCAUUGAGAGCAGAAGUUGCUGGGCAUUGCUUAUAAUUGUUUGGUAUUUCUUGCAGGUAUACUAUGUGGGUUCCUUUGAGAUACACAAUACAAAUCCUUCUUGGAACAUGUGUGGCCCAAAUAAGAAAAAAACCCCCAACCCCCAAAUUCCCCCUCCUAACUUCUCCAACAACUAUUUUCAAAGAAGCUCUCCAGCUCCCUUAUCUCAUUAGUACACCUGAUGGCUCUGCCCAGCAACUUUCCCAUCUCUCUCCAGAGCCCUGGCAAUGCCCAAAAUGACUGCUAAAAGCAAUGUGUUUGACUAUUGUUUCAAGCAAAAUAUGGACAGAAUGUAAUGCUCUUUGUCUGAGUAUCAUAUUUUUCUUUGCUACAAGCUGUUGUCUGGCUGAAUAUAUGUCUGAUGAAACUGGAGAGCCUUAUGCUUUCCUGAAUUACUGAGCACUGUCCUACUUAUGUAAAAUUUUUAAAAAAUAUGUUAUGAUUAAUGUAUAUGCAUAUAUGAAAAACAUAUCAGGUUAUAACAUUUAGAAAAUGCCAAUAUCAAGACUGUCUGAAGAAAUAUGAGAUUUUUUUUCUGCAUUAAAUGUCUACUUUGCACACAUGGUUUUCCACAGGUCUUGCUAUUACCAUGCUAUUUUUGGUAGGGUGCUGGUGUCAUUCAUUACAGACAUGGAUAAUGUCUGUUGUUCUAUUUAAUGUAUGGUUUAUUUUCAGUAUACGCUCCAUGUCCUAUUAACCACACCAUGUAUAAUUUUGCUCUGGUGACAGAAUAGUUUUCUUCUUGGCUUGCUUGCCUGCCUGUCUGAAUUUUCCAUCCACUUUUGCCGACUGGAACUUUUCAAGGCUCUGGUGUGAUCAGCCUAACCACAUUUCUUUUCCAUGAAAACCGGUGCAUGAAGAAACGGGGGAAAAAAUUACAGGGGUAAAGAUGGUUCAGUUCCGGAUCUUGUUCCAUCUGGUAUGUGAAGGUGACAUAUAUACCCAGGUGAUCCCAGAUGCAGAAUUUAUGUGUAUCCACAGAGACAUGAAAUGUUUUUAAAAAAUCCUAUCAGUCUUCCAUGUGGCUUUCUUAGGUAGCCAAGUACUGCAAAAUGUUUGCUUUAAAUGUGUUAUGAAUUUAUCUUCAAAAUGCCCAUGAGGUAAUGUAAGAAGAUAGUCUCCAUUUGCAUAUGAGUAAGAAGUGUACCAAGAAGCUGCAGCUUAAACUUUCAAACAGUGGAACACAAAACGAUUGAUUUUUCCAAAGUUUUUAGUAUGUCAAACAAUUUUCUGUAUGUAAGUGUUUCACAUGUUUUUAAUUACACCUGAAUUUAUUCAGGAUCACCGUAAAACUGAACUUAGAUUCUCAAGAUGGUUACCCAGAAAAUAAGAAAUUAGAAGAGCCAUUUAUGAAAAGCUUAAUAUAUGUGACUUAACUGACACAGUAUCUUAUUGACAGAAUCAGAGAUGGAAUUCAGUUCUUUGGGGAGAAUUCAACUGCCUUAAGCAUGCAUUCAAUCAUGCAUCCCAAGUUUUGGGGUUUGUUUUUAGAACAAAUACACCAAGUUUUUGUACAAAUAUUGCCAGAGACCUAGUUCUGAACUGUACCAUGUUGCUUCACUUAUUCUCUGCACCUCAUAUGAGUUCCAGCCUUCAGAUCAUGUUAUGCUUUUUCCUACUAAGGUAAAAAUGAUCUUACUAUCAGAAAUCUUCUCAUUGUAUUUACAUUAAUGGUACUUAGAACAUCAAAAGAAUGACUAAACUUAAGAUGAAAUUCAGGUGAAGGGGGACAAUUUGACUCCCCUUUAGCUGGAAACAUGGAAUGUAUUGAUCUGUCUUCAUCUGUAAUGACCUGCACAUUUACAAUUCUCUGGUUUAAAAGAUCUGGAAAUCUAAUCCAAAUACUGGAAGUUACAUUCACAAAUAAGUUGUAAAGUAUGCACACUCUUUAUAUAGAGCAUGAUCAGAAGACCCAGACUAGAAAAGGCUGCAUUGGAUCUAGGACUGGAAGGCUACAUUUCCAUUUUUUUUUUUUUUUUGUAAGAUUAGUGUCUAGCUUAAUAGGUACUGUUUACAGUCAGGGUUAUGCAUCAGCAAGAUGUCAUUACUUUCAGUGCUUAGGUUGAGUCUUUGUUGAACCAAACAUGUUGAACCAUGUUGAACCAAAAUGUGUGGAUGUAGAGGUCUGACCACCAUUAGCUUGACGAGUUUGUAUCUGGCCCUUGCACAUGGUAGAUGAGUACAAAGGUGACUAAAUGUCCUUUUGUGUUUCAUUGGCAUUUACAUUUCCAUUCAGCCCUUAAAAAUCUAGAUGCACCUUAAAUUCUGCUAGUAGUUUUUCUUCCAUGCCUGUUUUGGGUAUGCUCAUAAUGACCCAAGUCCAAAUACAGUCAAGUGUCUCAGUUCCAACUUCCCAGCUAUUUCCUGGAACAAGGAAGAUAGUGCUUUAUACUCUCUCCCACAACAUCUGAUUCCCUAUGAGUUCUCUGAGGAGAAAGAAGACAGCCAGCAAGGGGAGGGAAAGCAAACUGAAGAGAGUGAUCUGAGCCAGAAGUCCUACCUCCCAAGGAAUCCUCUAGCCAACACUGAAGCCUUCCCUCUGAGGCACUGUGAUAUUCACAAGUGCAACAGAUGCUGGGAGUUGUUAGAACUUCUUGGGUUUUGUUCAGUUUCCUACUGAAAUGCAGUGUGCUGUGCUCUGUCUUUAGAGAUGGGAGGACGGUUACUUACCUCACUGAUUUCUCCUGAAUAUUUUGAGGCAGGCUGAAACCUUAAGUGAAUGCACGAUAUUAGGCUGCUUUUUCUCACCAGAGCAGAGGAAGGCCUAUCUCUCUAAGCAAGCAGUGUGGCCCAGGGCAGUAGUGAAACAGUUAGCACUGAGUGCCCAACAUCCAUGCUGUCCACGUUGCAAGGAAUUGCUUUGCAUGAACUCCAGUCUAGUUCUGUAGGUUGAAUGUCCUUUGUUGUUUGGAACCCAUGAGGUGCAUUCAUGGAGAAUUUCUGAUUUCAUCUCAAAGAGAGUUAGUUCAGGUGGUCCAAAAGGGUGACUUUGUGUACUCCUGCCCUGAAUUAAAAAAAUAAUGGAGCCACUCUUCAAACCAUGGAAGGUGGAUUUGGGCUAUGAAGGAGAAACCCAAGAGGAAGAAACUUGCUAGUGUGAGUACCUCCUUGAAGACCCUGAAUGGUACAGGGACCCAACGUGCAGCAGGAAGCAGAAGCAGAGAUCAAACUCCAAGGAUAUGGAAAUAAAGACCACUUUAUAGGAACACAGAAGGGUCUGCAUAGAGCUUGCCUGAUGCAAGAAGCUGCUCAGAGUUUCUGUAAUGCAUCCCUGUAAUGAAAUUCUGUAACGCAUUUCUGUAAUGAAAAGAACUGCUUGAAAUGAUGUCCACCAUGCUAGGAUCUAGUGGACAACUGUCAGAUCUGUCUUCAUGCCUUUUACAUAAGUGUCUCUUUCUCAUCAGAUACAAAUUUCAACUAUUGACAGAUCUAGCUUUUUCUAGCUUGUUACUUUUGUGUUAGAAUAAAAAUUAAUUGUGUAAAUGGGAAGUCUGACGUGCCUUUUUUUGUUUUCAACUAAUGGUAAGGGACACAUGGGUUAGGGUUUCUAGAUCUGCCGUGUUAAAUUAGUUUGAGACAUGUUCAGCCUGCUGUCAUUUUGUCUAGCUUAUGCUGCUUCUUGUCCCUUUGACUUCAGUAAAAAACCUACAAGAAACAGGAUGGACUUUCUGGAAUAUUUCUCUAUGUUAGUUUUCACACAUGAUUUCAUCUGCAGGUUUUCCACUAUAAGAAGGAGUGUUCAGCGUGGCCCUCAGUUCUUAUCCCUUCCCCACUGGAACAAAACUUGCUGGCAACAAAUAUCAUUUUGUUUGAAUGAAGGAGACUAAAAAGUGAUGUCAGAUUUAUUUCUGCACUUUAAACAAACAUUUUAAUCUGCUGUGCUCUUUUUCGUUUUAACAGUGAUUGUAUUCAGUUUAUCAUUCCAGACGUUUCUUCAUGCAAACUCCCUCACCAGGAUUUGAAAACACUUUUUUCUUUCAAGAGAAAUAUUUCACACACUCUCUCCCUUUGUCUGAAAAGCAGAGUCAUGUGGGAACUGAUUGCUAUUCACUGAAAUGAUAUUUUCACUCAGAAUUAAUAUAGCCUUAUUUAAUUUAUGACAUCACAUAACAUGAUAAAUUAUGAAUUAAAAAUAUCAUUAUUCGGUGUGUGAAUGCUUGUCAUCCAUUUUGAUACCAAAUUAAUCCUGAAGCUUUUGGAAAAAAGCUUCCAGCAGCACACAGUAGCAUCAUUAGUAGCAGAAGCUCAGGAAGGUCCCAAAUGUUUGCAAAUGGGCAAUCCUACAUCAUGCACUGCUCUGGCUUUUGUGAUUUACUAGAUUUUCAUAUGUAAUAUAUUGUAUUCAAAUCAAAAUAGAUUAAUUGUUUGACACUCAAACACAGCUUUUCUUUAGAUAGCAGGAUUUAAAUAUGACACGUGUUGCACGUCAGUUCUAGCAAGGAAGGAGGUAUGUAUCCCUCUACCAGUACUCUACCAAGAAGCUCAUUUACAAAUGACUAAUUUGCAUAUUUGCCCCCAGCAUGCAAUUUUAAAUAUUUUUAAAAUUAUUUCUGACAAAUUCCUGUUGUGCCUUCAUUUGCUUCCGAAAGCAGCCAGACGUGAAAAAUACCCUGCAUGCACCUAGGUGUAUAUCUGCAAAAAGCCUCUAGGUUCUGGAAAAAACAUGAGAAUAUUUUUUUCUGUUAAUUUAGUAUUUCCAAUUCUGAUUUCACUAGAAAUGAUGAAAUGAUGAGCUAGAAAGAGUAACACAAAGCCAAUUAAACUACUUUGUAUCCUAGACUGCAUGAAUUUGUCUGGAUGAAGUGUCAAAGAUUUGUGGUAUUUCUUGUUUAAUCUGAACUGAUUCACCCAUUCCAGUGAAUCUAAGAAUAGAUUUUCUGUCUUUGUAUGAUUCUUGACUGCCUGUAAUCUAAGGAAAUGAAAAAGGGAUGAAAUUACUUUUACAUUUGUGGUGGGACAGUACUUGGUUAAAUUUUUUUUUUUUUGGUACUCAGAUUUUAAACAAAGGAUCCUGGUAACAGCUUCCAGCUUAUUCUGCAUUACAAAUAAACUGAAUCAACAGCACCUCUAGGUUGAGUUUCUAGCUGUGCUUCUUGACUCAGAUAUCUCACACUGCAUCUGAUUUUCUCUUUUUACUGAUUAUAGC